AGAGUUUGAUCUUGGCUCAGAUUGAACGCUGGCGGCAGGCCUAACACAUGCAAGUCGAGCGGAUGAUGGGAGCUUGCUCCCGGAUUCAGCGGCGGACGGGUGAGUAAUGCCUAGGAAUCUGCCUGGUAGUGGGGGACAACGUUUCGAAAGGAACGCUAAUACCGCAUACGUCCUACGGGAGAAAGCAGGGGACCUUCGGGCCUUGCGCUAUCAGAUGAGCCUAGGUCGGAUUAGCUAGUUGGUGGGGUAAAGGCCUACCAAGGCGACGAUCCGUAACUGGUCUGAGAGGAUGAUCAGUCACACUGGAACUGAGACACGGUCCAGACUCCUACGGGAGGCAGCAGUGGGGAAUAUUGGACAAUGGGCGAAAGCCUGAUCCAGCCAUGCCGCGUGUGUGAAGAAGGUCUUCGGAUUGUAAAGCACUUUAAGUUGGGAGGAAGGGCAGUAAGUUAAUACCUUGCUGUUUUGACGUUACCAACAGAAUAAGCACCGGCUAACUUCGUGCCAGCAGCCGCGGUAAUACGAAGGGUGCAAGCGUUAAUCGGAAUUACUGGGCGUAAAGCGCGCGUAGGUGGUUUGGUAAGAUGGAUGU
This 592-nucleotide ribosomal RNA is filed under the name uncultured bacterium. RNAcentral describes it as "bacterial SSU rRNA". It matches the Rfam family "Bacterial small subunit ribosomal RNA", at positions 8 to 595 of the family's 1533-position model. The record is from RNAcentral.